RNAcentral lists this ribosomal RNA (245 nucleotides) under uncultured bacterium. Its description in RNAcentral is "partial 16S ribosomal RNA". It matches the Rfam family "Bacterial small subunit ribosomal RNA", at positions 89 to 334 of the family's 1533-position model. The record is from RNAcentral.
UAUAAAGUGGCGAACGGCUGAGUAACACGUGGGCAACCUGCCCCUUUCAUUGGGAUAGCCACGGGAAACCGUGGAUAAUACCGAAUACUUCGAGACUUCCGCAUGGAAGACUCGAGAAAGCUCCGGCGGAGAGGGAUGGGCCCGCGGCCUGUUAGCUUGUUGGUGGGGUAACGGCCUACCAAGGCAAUGAUGGGUAGCUGGGUUGAGAGACCGACCAGCCAGAUUGGGACUGAGACACGGCCCAG